GAGUUUGAUCAUGGCUCAGAUUGAACGCUGGCGGCAGGCCUAACACAUGCAAGUCGAACGGUAACAGGAAACAGCUUGCUGUUUCGCUGACGAGUGGCGGACGGGUGAGUAAUGUCUGGGAAACUGCCUGAUGGAGGGGGAUAACUACUGGAAACGGUAGCUAAUACCGCAUAACGUCGCAAGACCAAAGAGGGGGACCCUCGGGCCUCUUGCCAUCGGAUGUGCCCAGAUGGGAUUAGCUUGUUGGUGGGGUAACGGCUCACCAAGGCGACGAUCCCUAGCUGGUCUGAGAGGAUGACCAGCCACACUGGAACUGUGACACGGUCCAGACUCCUACGGGAGGCAGCAGUGGGGAAUAUUGCACAAUGGGCGCAAGCCUGAUGCAGCCAUGCCGCGUGUAUGAAGAAGGCCUUCGGGUUGUAAAGUACUUUCAGCGGGGAGGAAGGGAGUAAAGUUAAUACCUUUGCUCAUUGACGUUACCCGCAGAAGAAGCACCGGCUAACUCCGUGCCAGCAGCCGCGGUAAUACGGAGGGUGCAAGCGUUAAUCGGAAUUACUGGGCGUAAAGCGCACGCAGGCGGUUUGUUAAGUCAGAUGUGAAAUCCCCGGGCUCAACCUGGGAACUGCAUCUGAUACUGGCAAGCUUGAGUCUCGUAGAGGGGGGUAGAAUUCCAGGUGUAGCGGUGAAAUGCGUAGAGAUCUGGAGGAAUACCGGGCGAAGGCGGCCCCCCUGGACGAAGACUGACGCUCAGGUGCGAAAGCGUGGGGAGCAAACAGGAUUAGAUACCCUGGUAGUCCACGCCGUAAACGAUGUCGACUUGGAGGUUGUGCCCUUGAGGCGUGGCUUCCGGAGCUAACGCGUUAAGUCGACCGCCUGGGGAGUACGGCCGCAAGGUUAAAACUCAAAUGGAUUGACGGGGGCCCGCACAAGCGGUGGAGCAUGUGGUUUAAUUCGAUGCAACGCGAAGAACCUUACCUGGUCUUGACAUCCACGGAAGUUUUCAGAGAUGAGAAUGUGCCUUCGGGAACCGUGAGACAGGUGCUGCAUGGCUGUCGUCAGCUCGUGUUGUGAAAUGUUGGGUUAAGUCCCGCAACGAGCGCAACCCUUAUCCUUUGUUGCCAGCGGUCCGGCCGGGAACUCAAAGGAGACUGCCAGUGAUAAACUGGAGGAAGGUGGGGAUGACGUCAAGUCAUCAUGGCCCAUACGACCAGGGCUACACACGUGCUACAAUGGCGCAUACAAAGAGAAGCGACCUCGCGAGAGCAAGCGGACCUCAUAAAGUGCGUCGUAGUCCGGAUUGGAGUCUGCAACUCGACUCCAUGAAGUCGGAAUCGCUAGUAAUCGUGGAUCAGAAUGCCACGGUGAAUACGUUCCCGGGCCUUGUACACACCGCCCGUCACACCAUGGGAGUGGGUUGCAAAAGAAGUAGGUAGCUUAACCUUCGGGAGGGCGCUUACCACUUUGUGAUUCAUGACUGGGGUGAAGUCGUAACAAGGUA
RNAcentral lists this ribosomal RNA (1498 nucleotides) under metagenome. RNAcentral describes it as "bacterial SSU rRNA". It matches the Rfam family "Bacterial small subunit ribosomal RNA". The record is from RNAcentral.